This 366-nucleotide ribosomal RNA is filed under the name Lactiplantibacillus plantarum. RNAcentral describes it as "bacterial SSU rRNA". It matches the Rfam family "Bacterial small subunit ribosomal RNA", at positions 1 to 338 of the family's 1533-position model. Lineage: Bacteria; Bacillati; Bacillota; Bacilli; Lactobacillales; Lactobacillaceae. The record is from RNAcentral.
UUAAUUUGAGAGUUUGAUCCUGGCUCAGGACGAACGCUGGCGGCGUGCCUAAUACAUGCAAGUCGAACGAACUCUGGUAAUGAUUGGUGCUUGCAUCAUGAAUUGCAUUUGAGUGAGUGGCGAACUGGUGAGUAACACGUGGGAAACCUGCCCAGAAGCGGGGGAUAACACCUGGAAACAGAUGCUAAUACCGCAUAACAACUUGGACCGCAUGGUCCGAGUUUGAAAGAUGGCUUCGGCUAUCACUUUUGGAUGGUCCCGCGGCGUAUUAGCUAGAUGGUGAGGUAACGGCUCACCAUGGCAAUGAUACGUAGCCGACCUGAGAGGGUAAUCGGCCACAUUGGGACUGAGACACGGCCCAAACUC